AGAGUUUGAUCCUGGCUCAGGAUGAACGCUGGCGGCGUGCCUAAUACAUGCAAGUCGAGCGGAAAGGUUCUGCACUUAUUAUUUGAACGGACAAGUCUAUCAAUGGUAGAUACUAUCUGAAAACGCUAUGCAUUGGCUAAUGAAAGCGAUCGAAUAAUGGGUGUAGAAUACUCGAGCGGCGGACGGCAGAGUAACGCGUAGGAAUGUACCCCAAAGUGAGGGAUAACUGCUCGAAAGAGUAGCUAAUACCGCAUGUGAUCUACGGAUUAAAGCUUCGGCGCUUUGGGAACAGCCUGCGUAUGAUUAGCUUGUUGGUGAGGUAAUAGCUCACCAAGGCGACGAUCAUUAGCUGGUCUGAGAGGAUGAUCAGCCUGACUGGGACUGAGAACGGCCCAGACUCCUACGGGAGGCAGCAGUAGGGAAUUUUCCACAAUGGGGGCAACCCUGAUGGAGCAACGCCGCGUGCAGGAUGAAGGCCUUCGGGUCGUAAACUGCUUUUAUAUGUGAAGAUUAUGACGGUAGCAUAUGAAUAAGGAUCGGCUAACUCCGUGCCAGCAGCCGCGGUCAUACGGAGGAUCCAAGCGUUAUCCGGAAUUACUGGGCGUAAAGAGUUGCGUAGGUGGCAUAGUAAGUUGGUAGUGAAAGCGUGCGGCUCAACCGCAUAUCCAUUACUAAAACUGCUAAGCUAGAGGGCGAGAGAGGUAGCUAGAAUUCCUAGUGUAGGAGUGAAAUCCGUAGAUAUUAGGAGGAAUACCGAUGGCGUAGGCAGGCUACUGGCUCGUCCCUGACACUAAGGCACGAAAGCGUGGGGAGCGACCGGGAUUAGAUACCCCGUUAGUCCACGCCGUAAACGAUGGAUGCUAGCUGUUAUGCGUAUCGACCCGCGUAGUAGCGAAGCUAACGCGUUAAGCAUCCCGCCUGUGGGGUACGAGCGCAAGCUUAAAACAUAAAGGAAUUGACGGGGACCCGCACAAGCGGUGGAGCGUGUUCUUUAAUUCGAUGGUAAGCGAAGAACCUUACCAAGGUUUGACAUCCUACUAAUUUCUCCGAAAGGAGAGAGUGCCUUCGGGCCGUAGUGACAGGUGAUGCAUGGCUGUCGUCAGCUCGUGUCGUGAGAUGUUGGGUU
This 1126-nucleotide ribosomal RNA is filed under the name uncultured bacterium. RNAcentral's name for it is "bacterial SSU rRNA". It matches the Rfam family "Bacterial small subunit ribosomal RNA", at positions 8 to 1081 of the family's 1533-position model. The record is from RNAcentral.